AGAGUUUGAUCCUGGCUCAGGAUGAACGCUGGCGGCGUGCUUAACACAUGCAAGUCGAACGAUGAUCCCAGCUUGCUGGGGGAUUAGUGGCGAACGGGUGAGUAACACGUGAGUAACCUGCCCUUAACUCUGGGAUAAGCCUGGGAAACUGGGUCUAAUACCGGAUAUGACUCCUCAUCGCAUGGUGGGGGGUGGAAAGCUUUAUUGUGGUUUUGGAUGGACUCGCGGCCUAUCAGCUUGUUGGUGAGGUAAUGGCUCACCAAGGCGACGACGGGUAGCCGGCCUGAGAGGGUGACCGGCCACACUGGGACUGAGACACGGCCCAGACUCCUACGGGAGGCAGCAGUGGGGAAUAUUGCACAAUGGGCGAAAGCCUGAUGCAGCGACGCCGCGUGAGGGAUGACGGCCUUCGGGUUGUAAACCUCUUUCAGUAGGGAAGAAGCGAAAGUGACGGUACCUGCAGAAGAAGCGCCGGCUAACUACGUGCCAGCAGCCGCGGUAAUACGUAGGGCGCAAGCGUUAUCCGGAAUUAUUGGGCGUAAAGAGCUCGUAGGCGGUUUGUCGCGUCUGCCGUGAAAGUCCGGGGCUCAACUCCGGAUCUGCGGUGGGUACGGGCAGACUAGAGUGAUGUAGGGGAGACUGGAAUUCCUGGUGUAGCGGUGAAAUGCGCAGAUAUCAGGAGGAACACCGAUGGCGAAGGCAGGUCUCUGGGCAUUAACUGACGCUGGGGAGCGAAAGCAUGGCGAGCGAACAGGAUUAGAUACCCCCGUAGUCC
This 775-nucleotide ribosomal RNA is filed under the name uncultured Arthrobacter sp. RNAcentral describes it as "bacterial SSU rRNA". It matches the Rfam family "Bacterial small subunit ribosomal RNA", at positions 8 to 796 of the family's 1533-position model. The record is from RNAcentral. Lineage: Bacteria; Bacillati; Actinomycetota; Actinomycetes; Micrococcales; Micrococcaceae.